RNAcentral lists this ribosomal RNA (51 nucleotides) under Trypanosoma brucei. RNAcentral's name for it is "12S rRNA". The record is from RNAcentral. Lineage: Eukaryota; Euglenozoa; Kinetoplastea; Trypanosomatida; Trypanosomatidae.
CAAGGAUUGAUUAUUAUUGAAAAAAGAAUUUUUUUUUUUUGAAUUCGAAGG